CAUCCUGGAAACGCAGCUGGAAGGCGUGGUUCCGGUCGCGGAGCUGGCUCGGAUGCGGAGCCGCCUCUGCCUCAACCUGGGCCUGGCGCAGGAAUCGCUGGGGAACGCCCGGGAGAGCUCCCGGCUGCUCUGGGACAGCCUCAGAUGGGCAGACACGUCGCAGUCGCCGGAGGAUC
Long non-coding RNA from Camarhynchus parvulus, 176 nucleotides. RefSeq lists it as uncharacterized. The record is from RefSeq and is a predicted model, not a curated record. The transcript is spliced from 3 exons. NCBI's taxonomy places the organism in Eukaryota, Metazoa, Chordata, Aves, Passeriformes, Thraupidae.